Molecule: non-coding RNA, 97 nt
Organism: Ceratotherium simum simum (southern white rhinoceros)
Lineage: Eukaryota; Metazoa; Chordata; Mammalia; Perissodactyla; Rhinocerotidae
Source: RefSeq, a predicted model, not a curated record
UGUGAGUAGCUGUGGAAAAUUGUCUGAUACAGCGUCAGAAGGUGAGACGAUGGCGCAAAAAGACCGGGCAGGGUUCCACUCUGCCGUACACAGGGUU